UGCCUUAGUAACUGCGAGUGAAGCGGCAAAAGCUCAAAUUUGAAAUCGGCGUCCUUUGCGGGCAUCGAGUUGUAAUUUGGAGGGAUAACUUCGGUACAGACUACAUCGUAAGUUCCUUGGAACAGGACGUCAUAGAGGGUGAGAAUCCCGUGUCUUGGUGUUUGGCUGUGCCAUGUGAAGUGUCUCCGACGAGUCGAGUUGUUUGGGAAUGCAGCUCAAAAUGGGUGGUAAAUUUCAUCUAAAGCUAAAUAUUGGCGAGAGACCGAUAGCGCACAAGUAGAGUGAUCGAAAGAUGAAAAGCACUUUGAAAAGAGAGUUAAAAAGUACGUGAAAUUGUUGAAAGGGAAGCGCUUGCGACCAGACUCGAUCUUUGGUGAUCAGCCGGGCUUCGGUCCGGUGCCCUUACCAUUGAUUGGGCCAGCAUCGGUUCCGACGGCGGGAUAAAAGGAGGAGGAAUGUGGCUCCCUUCGGGGAGUGUUAUAGCCUUCUUCACAAUGCCGCCAGUUGGGACCGAGGACCGCGCUUCGGCUAGGAUGCUGGCGUAAUGGUCUUAAGCGACCCGUCUUGAAACACGGACCAAGGAGUCUAACAUCUAUGCGAGUGUUCGGGUGGAAAACCCUUGCGCGUAAUGAAAGUGAACGGAGGUGUGAACCCUUUACCGGGUGCAACAUCGACCGGUCCUGAUGUCUUCGGAAGGAUCUGAGUAAGAGCAUAGCUGUUGGGACCCGAAAGAUGGUGAACUAUGCCUGAAUAGGGUGAAGCCAGAGGAAACUCUGGUGGAGGCUCGCAGCGGUUCUGACGUGCAA
Molecule: ribosomal RNA, 806 nt
Filed under: Tricharina gilva
Lineage: Eukaryota; Fungi; Ascomycota; Pezizomycetes; Pezizales; Pyronemataceae
Description: LSU rRNA
Rfam family: Eukaryotic large subunit ribosomal RNA
Source: RNAcentral